AGCAAGAGCUUGCUCUUGGCUGACGAGUGGCGGACGGGUGAGUAACGCGUGGGAAUCUGCCUAGUAGUUGGGGACAACCUGGUGAAAACCAGGCUAAUACCGAAUGUGGUCUACGGACUAAAGCAGGGGAUCUUCGGACCUUGCGCUACUAGAUGAGCCCGCGUUAGAUUAGCUAGUUGGUGAGGUAAAAGCUCACCAAGGCGACGAUCUAUAGCUGGUCUGAGAGGACGAUCAGCCACACUGGGACUGAGACACGGCCCAGACUCCUACGGGAGGCAGCAGUGGGGAAUAUUGGACAAUGGGCACAAGCCUGAUCCAGCAAUACCGCGUGUGUGAAGAAGGCCUGAGGGUUGUAAAGCACUUUCAAUUGUGAAGAAAGGAUUAAGGUUAAUAACCUUGAUUUUUGACGUUAACUUUAGAAGAAGCACCGGCUAACCCUGUGCCAGCAGCCGCGGUAAUACAGGGGGUGCGAGCGUUGAUCGGAAUUACUGGGCGUAAAGCGUACGUAGGCGGAUAUUUAAGUCAGAUGUGAAAGCCCCGGGCUCAACCUGGGAACUGCAUUUGAAACUGGAUGUCUAGAGUUUGGUAGAGGCGGGUAGAAUUCCUAGUGUAGCGGUGAAAUGCGUAGAUAUUAGGAGGAAUACCAGUGGCGAAGGCGGCCCGCUGGACCAAAACUGACGCUGAGGUACGAAAGCGUGGGGAGCAAACGGGAUUAGAUACCCCGGUAGUCCACGCCGUAAACGAUGUCAACUAGUCGUUGGGUCCUUCGGGGCUUAGUGACGCAGCUAACGCGUGAAGUUGACCGCCUGGGGAGUACGGCCGCAAGGCUAAAACUCAAAUGAAUUGACGGGGGCCCGCACAAGCGGUGGAGCAUGUGGUUUAAUUCGAUGCAACGCGAAGAACCUUACCUACCCUUGACAUCAUCAGAACUUGUUAGAGAUAACUCGGUGCCUUCGGGAACUGAAUGACAGGUGCUGCAUGGCUGUCGUCAGCUCGUGUCGUGAGAUGUUGGGUUAAGUCCCGCAACGAGCGCAACCCUUGUCCUUAGUUGCCAGCACGUAAUGGUGGGAACUCUAAGGAGACUGCCGGUGAUAAACCGGAGGAAGGUGGGGAUGACGUCAAGUCAUCAUGGCCCUUAUGGGUAGGGCUACACACGUGCUACAAUGGUACAUACAGAGGGCAGCGACCUCGCGAGAGCAAGCAAAUCCCAGAAAGUGUAUCGUAGUCCGGAUUGGAGUCUGCAACUCGACUCCAUGAAGUCGGAAUCGCUAGUAAUCGUGAAUCAGAAUGUCACGGUGAAUACGUUCCCGGGCCUUGUACACACCGCCCGUCACACCAUGGGAGUGGGCUGCAAAAGAAGUAGGUAGCAUAACCUUCGGGGGUGCGCUUACCACUUUGUGGUUCAUGACUGG
RNAcentral lists this ribosomal RNA (1412 nucleotides) under gamma proteobacterium endosymbiont of Siboglinum fiordicum. Its description in RNAcentral is "bacterial SSU rRNA". It matches the Rfam family "Bacterial small subunit ribosomal RNA". Lineage: Bacteria; Pseudomonadati; Pseudomonadota; Gammaproteobacteria. The record is from RNAcentral.